GAUGAACGCUGGCGGCGUGCCUAAUACAUGCAAGUCGAACGAACGGACGGUAAGCUUGCGGCCUGGAUGUUAGCGGCGGACGGGAGAGUAACGCGUGGAUAACCUACUUAUAAUUCGGGGAUAACUUCGGAAAACCGGAGCUAAUACCGGAGAAUAUUUUGAACCGCAGGGUGCAAAAGUGAGAGACGGUGUUGCUGUCAGUUAUAGAUGGAUCCGCGCUGCAUUAGCUAGUUGGUAAGGUAACGGCUUACCAAGGCAACGAUGCAUAGCCGAACUGAGAGGCUGAUCGGCCACACUGGAACUGAGCCAGGGUCCAGACUACUACGGGAGGCAGCAGUCGGGAAUCUUACGCAAUGGGCGAAAGCCUGACGGAGCAACGCCGCGUGAGUGAUGAAGGUCUUCGGAUCGUAAAACUCUGUUAUUGGGGAAGAACAUAUGUGUCAGUAAAUGUGGCCAUCUUGACGGUACCUAAUAAGAAAGCAACGGCUAACUACGUG
RNAcentral lists this ribosomal RNA (497 nucleotides) under uncultured bacterium. RNAcentral describes it as "partial 16S ribosomal RNA". It matches the Rfam family "Bacterial small subunit ribosomal RNA", at positions 28 to 507 of the family's 1533-position model. The record is from RNAcentral.